AAGUCGAGGGGAAACGAUAUUGGAAGCUUGCUUCCGAUAGGCGUCGACCGGCGCACGGGUGAGUAACGCGUAUCCAACCUGCCCAUCACUUGGGAAUAACCUUGCGAAAGUAAGACUAAUACCCAAUGACGUCUCUAGAAGACAUCUGAAGGAGAUUAAAGAUUUAUCGGUGAUGGAUGGGGAUGCGUUCCAUUAGGUAGUAGGCGGGGUAACGGCCUACCAAGGCGACGAUCAGUAGGGGUUCUGAGAGGAAGGUCCCCACAUUGGAACUGAGACACGGUCCAAACUCC
This 290-nucleotide ribosomal RNA is filed under the name uncultured Prevotella sp. Its description in RNAcentral is "partial 16S ribosomal RNA". It matches the Rfam family "Bacterial small subunit ribosomal RNA", at positions 59 to 339 of the family's 1533-position model. Lineage: Bacteria; Pseudomonadati; Bacteroidota; Bacteroidia; Bacteroidales; Prevotellaceae. The record is from RNAcentral.